Molecule: non-coding RNA, 71 nt
Organism: Parelaphostrongylus tenuis
Lineage: Eukaryota; Metazoa; Nematoda; Chromadorea; Rhabditida; Metastrongylidae
Source: the annotation of a GenBank genome assembly
UCCUCGGGGGUGUAGUGGUAGCACGCCACCCCAGCAUGGGUGAGGCGCGGGUUCAACUUCCUCCUGAGGGA